RNAcentral lists this ribosomal RNA (530 nucleotides) under Citrobacter freundii. RNAcentral's name for it is "partial 23S ribosomal RNA". It matches the Rfam family "Bacterial large subunit ribosomal RNA", at positions 1 to 561 of the family's 2925-position model. The record is from RNAcentral. Lineage: Bacteria; Pseudomonadati; Pseudomonadota; Gammaproteobacteria; Enterobacterales; Enterobacteriaceae.
GGGUUGUGAGGUUAAGCGACUAAGCGUACACGGUGGAUGCCCUGGCAGUCAGAGGCGAUGAAGGACGUGCUAAUCUGCGAUAAGCGUCGGUAAGGUGAUAUGAACCGUUAUAACCGGCGAUUUCCGAAUGGGGAAACCCAGUGUGAUUCGUCACACUAUCAUUGCGUGAAUACAUAGCGUAAUGAAGCGAACCGGGGGAACUGAAACAUCUAAGUACCCCGAGGAAAAGAAAUCAACCGAGAUUCCCCCAGUAGCGGCGAGCGAACGGGGAGCAGCCCAGAGUCUGAAUCAGCUUGUGUGUUAGUGGAACGGUCUGGAAAGUCCGACGGUACAGGGUGAUAGUCCCGUACACCAAAAUGCACAGGUUGUGAACUCGAAGAGUAGGGCGGGACACGUGGUAUCCUGUCUGAAUAUGGGGGGACCAUCCUCCAAGGCUAAAUACUCCUGACUGACCGAUAGUGAACCAGUACCGUGAGGGAAAGGCGAAAAGAACCCCGGCGAGGGGAGUGAAAAAGAACCUGAAACCGUGU